GGACGGAGACGCACAGACCAGCCCGCGGCCGUGGGCCCUUUAUUCCUGUACCGUUUCCAAGAGGUGCAGAAAAAUCUAAGUUUGUUCUUAGUUAAGAGGUGGUCUUCAGCGUCUUCCAGCCCUCCUGUCACAGCUGUGGCCUGUUUAAAAAGAAGGCAAAGAACUCUGCGUCUGAGGGCAGGGCAAGCUCAAACCUGCCACCGAUUAGAAAAAUCACAGUGUCGCAGGUGCGCUUUUAACCGAAUAGCAAGCUUAGAGGUCAAGUUGGGGAAGGGAAGGGGAAAAAAAAAAAAGAAAGAAAAGCAGGCAAGCCAGGCGCCCCGGCGGCGGAAGGUCGAGCCGGGGCGGCGCUCGGCGGGUUUGCAGCGCUCUCGGCGGCAGCCGGGCCCGCGGGCCUCCCGCAGGUACCUCCCUCCUCCCCACCUGUCGCUCGCGGCCCGGAGCUGGGGUGCCGCCCCCGCCGCCCCGCCGCCCCCAGCCGGGGGAGGGGGAGUCCUCCUCGGCCCCCGCCCCCGCCCCCGCCCCCCGCGGUCCCGGCUCGCUGCCCCUCGCGCUCCGAGGCCGCCCAGCCGCGCCGGCACUUCUGGAGGGCUGCCCGGCGGAGGUGGCGGCGAGCCCGGGAGCUCGGGCCGCGGCAUGGGGCAGGGUGAGCGCGGGAGGGCCGGCGGCGGGGAGGGAGGGCCGGAGGGAGGGCCGCGGAGGGAGGGCCGCCGCCUCCGCCUCGCCUCGCCUCGCCUCGCCUCGCCUCCGCCCGGGCCCCGCUCCGAGGCCUCCCCGCGGCGGGAAGGCGGGUCGGCGCCGGGAGCUCCGGGGCCUGCGGUCGGCGCGGACCGCCCGGAGCCCGCGAGCCCCGCUCCCCCCCCCCACCCCCCCGCUCCGGGGCGGCCCCUCGGGUCUCGGCCCCACGGGGCGGGGGCUGCAGCGCCGCCUUCCGCCGCCGGGACCUGGGGCGGGGGCGGCCGCCGCGACCUCGGAGCCUCGGGCCGCAGGUGGCGGGCGGCGGGGGCCGGGGCCGGGGCUCGGGGCUCGGGGCUCGGGUCGGGGCUCUCGGCUCUCGCCCGCCGCCGGCCCCGCUCAGGCCUCGGGCAGCCGCGCGUCCCGCCCUGA
RNAcentral lists this long non-coding RNA (1107 nucleotides) under Canis lupus familiaris (dog). RNAcentral's name for it is "lncRNA (ENSCAFG00000053462.1)". Lineage: Eukaryota; Metazoa; Chordata; Mammalia; Carnivora; Canidae. The record is from RNAcentral.